Molecule: long non-coding RNA, 252 nt
Filed under: Lathyrus oleraceus (garden pea)
Lineage: Eukaryota; Viridiplantae; Streptophyta; Magnoliopsida; Fabales; Fabaceae
Description: Pisum sativum (pea) long non-coding RNA (PSAT_LNC008875)
Source: RNAcentral
AGUAGAUGAAUUUUCAUUAUUCAUUUAUGUGAUUUCGUGAAAAUUUGAGACAGUUGCAUGUGAAUCAAAGAUACUAGUAAUAUGUUUUUUUCAAAUUUUUCGUUACAUCUACUUUGCAUUUUCACCGCAUAUUUUUUAAUGGAGGAAGAAGAUGAGUGGGGGUGGGGCCCAUGCGGGUCACCUCCCCCACCCCCUUUUUAUUUGUUUUUCUUUUGUUUUAUUGUCAUUUUUAUUUUUAAUAUAUGAUUGAGC